UUCUCACACUACUGUAAGUCACUUUGGAUAAAAGCUUCUGCUAAAUGGUAUAAU
Non-coding RNA from Salmo salar (Atlantic salmon), 54 nucleotides. The record is from Rfam. Lineage: Eukaryota; Metazoa; Chordata; Actinopteri; Salmoniformes; Salmonidae.